AGAGCGAACGCUGGCGGCAGGCCUAAUACAUGCAAGUCGAACGGAUCCUUCGGGAUUAGUGGCGGACGGGUGAGUAACACGUGGGAACGUGCCCUUUGGUUCGGAACAACUCAGGGAAACUUGAGCUAAUACCGGAUGUGCCCUUCGGGGGAAAGAUUUAUCGCCAUUGGAGCGGCCCGCGUCUGAUUAGCUAGUUGGUAGGGUAAAGGCCUACCAAGGCUUCGAUCAGUAGCUGGUCUGAGAGGAUGAUCAGCCACACUGGGACUGAGACACGGCCCAGACUCCUACGGGAGGCAGCAGUAGGGAAUCUUGCGCAAUGGGCGAAAGCCUGACGCAGCCAUGCCGCGUGAAUGAUGAAGGUCUUAGGAUUGUAAAAUUCUUUCAGCGGGGACGAUAAUGACGGUACCGCAGAAGAAGCCCCGGCUAACUUCGUAGCCAGCAGCCGC
This 446-nucleotide ribosomal RNA is filed under the name uncultured bacterium. RNAcentral's name for it is "SSU rRNA". It matches the Rfam family "Bacterial small subunit ribosomal RNA", at positions 26 to 518 of the family's 1533-position model. The record is from RNAcentral.